This 465-nucleotide ribosomal RNA is filed under the name uncultured Pseudomonas sp. Its description in RNAcentral is "bacterial SSU rRNA". It matches the Rfam family "Bacterial small subunit ribosomal RNA", at positions 338 to 795 of the family's 1533-position model. Lineage: Bacteria; Pseudomonadati; Pseudomonadota; Gammaproteobacteria; Pseudomonadales; Pseudomonadaceae. The record is from RNAcentral.
CCUCCGGGCGGCAGCAGUGGGGAAUAUUGGACAAUGGGCGAAAGCCUGAUCCAGCCAUGCCGCGUGUGUGAAGAAGGUCUUCGGAUUGUACAGCACUUUAAGUUGGGAGGAAGGGUUGUAGAUUAAUACUCUGCAAUUUUGACGUUACCGACAGAAUAAGCACCGGCUAACUCUGUGCCAGCAGCCGCGGUAAUACAGAGGGUGCAAGCGUUAAUCGGAAUUACUGGGCGUAAAGCGCGCGUAGGUGGUUUGUUAAGUUGGAUGUGAAAUCCCCGGGCUCAACCUGGGAACUGCAUUCAAAACUGACUGACUAGAGUAUGGUAGAGGGUGGUGGAAUUUCCUGUGUAGCGGUGAAAUGCGUAGAUAUAGGAAGGAACACCAGUGGCGAAGGCGACCACCUGGACUAAUACUGACACUGAGGUGCGAAAGCGUGGGGAGCAAACAGGAUUAGAUACCCGAGUAGUC